RNAcentral lists this ribosomal RNA (605 nucleotides) under uncultured bacterium. Its description in RNAcentral is "bacterial SSU rRNA". It matches the Rfam family "Bacterial small subunit ribosomal RNA", at positions 8 to 608 of the family's 1533-position model. The record is from RNAcentral.
AGAGUUUGAUCCUGGCUCAGAUUGAACGCUGGCGGCGUGCUUAACACAUGCAAGUCGAGCGGCAGCGCGGGAGCAAUCCUGGCGGCGAGCGGCGAACGGGUGAGUAAUGCUUCGGAAUCUGCCCUUCAGUGGGGAAUAACCAGCCGAAAGGUUGGCUAAUACCGCAUACGAACUGAGGUUGAAAGCAGGGGAUCGCAAGACCUUGCGCUGAUGGAUGAGCCGAAGUCGGAUUAGCUAGUUGGUGGGGUAACGGCCCACCAAGGCGACGAUCCGUAGCUGGUCUGAGAGGACGACCAGCCAUACUGGGACUGAGACACGGCCCAGACUCCUACGGGAGGCAGCAGUGGGGAAUAUUGGACAAUGGGGGCAACCCUGAUCCAGCGACGCCGCGUGUGUGAAGAAGGCCUGCGGGUUGUAAAGCACUUUUAGUGGGGAGGAAGGUCUGCGACCUAACACGUCGUGGAAUUGACUUAACCCACAGAAAAAGCACCGGCUAACUCUGUGCCAGCAGCCGCGGUAAUACAGAUGGUGCAAGCGUUAAUCGGAAUUACUGGGCGUAAAGCGUGCGUACGCGGUUUCGUAAGUCCGGUGUGAAAGCCCCGGGC